UACUUAGGAAUCUACCUAGUAGUGGGGGAUAGCUCGGGGAGACUCGAAUUAAUACCGCAUACGUCCUACGGGAGAAAGGGGGCAACUUGUUGCUCUCGCUAUUAGAUGAGCCUAAGUCGGAUUAGCUAGAUGGUGGGGUAAAGGCCUACCAUGGCGACGAUCUGUAGCUGGUCUGAGAGGAUGAUCAGCCACACCGGGACUGAGACACGGCCCGGACUCCUACGGGAGGCAGCAGUGGGGAAUAUUGGACAAUGGGGGCAACCCUGAUCCAGCCAUGCCGCGAGUGUGAAGAAGGCCUUUUGGUUGUAAAGCACUUUAAGCAGUGAAGAAGACCUAACGGUUAAUACCCGUUAGCGAUGACAUUAGCUGCAGAAUAAGCACCGGCUAACUCUGUGGCAGCAGACGCGGGUAAUACAGAGGUGCAAGCGUUAAUCGGAAUUACUGGGAGUAAAGCGAGCGUAGGGGGGUUGAUAAGUCAGAUGUGAAAUCCCCGG
This 494-nucleotide ribosomal RNA is filed under the name Psychrobacter sp. 2J16. Its description in RNAcentral is "bacterial SSU rRNA". It matches the Rfam family "Bacterial small subunit ribosomal RNA", at positions 114 to 606 of the family's 1533-position model. Lineage: Bacteria; Pseudomonadati; Pseudomonadota; Gammaproteobacteria; Moraxellales; Moraxellaceae. The record is from RNAcentral.